UAACCAGAAAGAGAACUGGGUCUAUUUUUCCUGGAAACAAUUAUAAUGAAACCAGCAGUUAGGAUUAUAUGGUGUUGAAUUGCCUAGUAUACCUGCUGAUUUCCUUUAUUUUUAAAUGAUAAGAAACAUUUGCACAUUUUCCUUAUUCUUUCAGAAUCAGCUUGCAGUAAAAUACCUUAAACUUCCAAGAAAGUUUCAGUUAUUCAUGGAGAAAAGGAUUUGUAGUGACACGGAAAUAUACAUGAUAUUCAUAUACAUCUGUGCUUCUGGCAAAGUAUUUGUGAUUAUGUCUUAUGUUCCUAUGGCUAGGAAAAAUUAUUCCAAAUUGAACACAUUCUGGGUAUAAGGUCUCAAAUUUCAGGGAGUAAUUAUAACACAUUAUACCAAAAAUAGAGAUUGGUAGAAGUAGAAGUAAAGAUAGACAUAGAGAUAUUUUUUUUUCUUUAUAGAUAAGGAAAAAUACAUUGCAUAAAUGUCAUGCAGUUCUUUUAUUUGUUACGGUGCUCUCACCCCAUACAAGCUUCUGAAGCCUUUCUUUGACAGGGUUAUGUAGGAAAGAUAACACUAAUGAAGUGGUUUUGUGAGCACAUGCAGAAGAAGAAAAAUUCUUCUCUACUUUAAAGAUCCAGGAGGAAAGAAGCAGGAGCCAAUAAAGUCAGCACUGUACAACUACCUGGCUGCUGAUUGGAGAUGAACCAUUUGUGUUUCUAAUUAAUCACCUUCUGAUCGGGGAAGGACCACCUGGGCCCUCACCUUCCAGUGUUUUUGCACAGAGCUGACCAUCUUUCUCUAAUCUCAGCCAUUCGCCAUAUCUGAGCUAUAACCCUACAAUUCCUGGCCAGCAUGGGAAAAAAACGGUUUUCUUCCAGCAGAUAGAGCAAACAAGCAGAGGGGGAGAAAACUUCUAGGAUGGAGAUGGGAUUAGAAAGGAAUUGCAUGAAGAAAGGAAGAAAGUGUGGGAUGGUCUAUUGGGAUCUGAGUUGAUGAACAAAUCCUACACACCCUGUUCAAUAUUGGAACUUUUUUCUGAUUCUACAGUUCCACCAUGCAGGCUUUGAGCAACUUUUAUCAGACGUAUCCCCUGAGCUGUAGGAUUGUGACUUGACUCAUGCUUGGAAAACUUUCCAAUUUUCAAGUUCCAAAGAAGAUAAUUAUUGACUCUCAGAAGUGGAAAUUAUGAUUGAUUGACAAAGUGGUCUUACUGUAAAUCCCAUUCAAACGCCUGUCAUUGCCUCUGCAGCAGAAUAGACUGUCCAUAUAUACAGAAUCACAUUUAAUUUCCAAACACUUUCUCAGGCAAUGGGUAUCAGGCCCUUACUUGCAAAUAGACAAUCACCCAACUUGAAGCAGAUUCUCAUAAUGCCAAGCAGACCUUGCAACAAACUCAGAUGUUUAGUUGCUUCCACCUCUACACCAACAGCACCAUUCUAGACCUACAAAGAUUAUAGGCAUCUCCAUGUGCUCUUCCUCCACUGAGAUAUAUGCGUCAUCUGCCAACAAUGCCCCCAUGGUUUUUUACUUAGGAAAAAUGUGACAAACUUUGUGGGAAAGAAUUAAUGGACACAUGCUUGACAUCUGAAUGCCAAACAAGGACAAAGUAGUGCCAGAGUAUUUCAAUGUGGGACGGUCUAUAGCAAAUCUCAAAGUGAUUGUUUUAUAUCAAAAUGUCCAACCAGUUACAUCAUGUAUUUUAACACAUUACAACUGUUAAUUGAUAUUUGUAUCUAUGUGAUUUUUUGAUAAAAAUACAGGAGUGGAUUACCAUUGCCUUCUCCCUUGCAGCAUAUAUUAAUGCUAUUGUCAUGUGAUCGCCUGCCUCUGGCAUAUUCCUUUAUUGCUGCUGCCCAUUAUAAAUUCUUGCUUGAUUUAGCUAAGCAGCCAGGAUGACCUUCACCUUGGGUGACCCUGCUGGGAAUAUAUAGUCUUGGCAUACAUUACUGAUGUUCUUUUCCUAUCCAUCGCAGGAGUAUUCCCAUCCAAGAUAAGGCAACACAGUAGGACUUGGAAGGGGUUAAUUGACAAAAUACUUUUGUAAUCUGCCUCACCUAUAAUCUGCAUUUUUGUAACCAAUCUAUGUUCUUCUUUCCCCUUGUCUUCCACUUCCCCCCACUUUAAAACCUGCAUUAUCUUAAGCCCUCUAUGUAUCUAAUGAAAUGCACUGCAGCUCCCAAAAGGUUAUACCUGUUAAUAAAAAGUCUUAAUAAGGAAAGAUGCUCCCACACUUCCAAUUUUAUGGCAAAAUAAGAUACCUGUAACUUGCUUAGCCAUCCCCCCACACACUCUUUAUUUCCACAAUUUAAUUUUCUUCCAUCAUUGUGAACCAAAAGGCAGUUCAGAUGCCUUUUCCUACCUACUUGUAUUGGCUACAUUCAAAUGGUCAA
Molecule: long non-coding RNA, 2381 nt
Organism: Crotalus tigris (Tiger rattlesnake)
Lineage: Eukaryota; Metazoa; Chordata; Lepidosauria; Squamata; Viperidae
Exons: 4
Source: RefSeq, a predicted model, not a curated record